This 83-nucleotide microRNA precursor is filed under the name Myotis lucifugus (little brown bat). RNAcentral describes it as "miRNA (ENSMLUG00000024576.1)". The record is from RNAcentral. Lineage: Eukaryota; Metazoa; Chordata; Mammalia; Chiroptera; Vespertilionidae.
UAGAGUGACCGCCUGUCCUGGUUUGCCUGGCACUGAGGACAUUCCCAGGACGGGGGACUUUCAGUGCUGAAGCCAGGAAAGUC